This 1288-nucleotide ribosomal RNA is filed under the name Ulva gigantea. RNAcentral's name for it is "large subunit ribosomal RNA". It matches the Rfam family "Bacterial large subunit ribosomal RNA", at positions 1 to 1210 of the family's 2925-position model. The record is from RNAcentral. Lineage: Eukaryota; Viridiplantae; Chlorophyta; Ulvophyceae; Ulvales; Ulvaceae.
CUCUCUUUUAUAUACUUGCCUAUAUAAUGAUAAUGCAAUAAUCUCUAUUCUAAGUAGGUUUCUAUUUUGAGAGUUAUUAAAGUAUUGUAUAUCAGUAUAGAAUUCGCCUGAUAAGCCCGUUCUCUAAGGUGGAAACACUGUAUUAAAACAGCAUACACCAAAACUCAAUGAACUAAAAGAUUUUAUUAAUUGAAGGAAAAGAAACCAACCGGGAUUGCGCUAGUAGUACAGAACGAAAGUGCAUAAGCUUAAAGAAAUAUUUUUUGUUUACAAUCGAACUUAAGUGAAAUCCGGACCAGAGAAAGUUAUAGUCUUGUAGGUUGUAAACAAAAAAAGUGCUGUAAUUAUUUAUAAGCAUGUAACUAUUAUUAUAAUAAUGCACAAAUAUUGAAGAAGGCAAAAGUAAUAAAUAGGCUUUAAGGACUAAAUUAGUGGUUUAACGCUGCUAGUUAUAAACGGAAACCACUCCGUUGGCUAAAUAUUCUAUGUAGAUCGAUAGUGAAUCAGUACUGUAAAGGAAUUUGGAAACAAGAAUGCCAUUGCUUCUCUGAAUACAAGUCCCGAAACAGGUUGCUUAUAAUGACUUUCAGUUUGGCUGUUAUAAUGUUGAAUAGAAAGGUUCCUUUUGAAUCAUGAGCUGAUGACUUUGUGUUAGUUUAGGACAUACAUUAACUGUUCUCUUUUUUUUUUUACCUUCAGGGUAAAAAAAAGCGCGUACAAUUAAUCUAAGUAGCUUAAUUUAUUAAAAGUAAGCUUAUUAUGAAAGUAUUCAUAGAAAACUAACAUAAAACGCGAAACGAAGUGAUCUUAAGUAGACCAGGGGGAAGGUUACCGGAAGGUAGUUGGACGCCCGAAGUGGUAUGCGUUGCAACGCAUUCAUAUGAGUUUAUUUAAGUGGCGAAAUACCAAUCGAACUUCGAAAUAUCUCGUUUUUUGCGAAACCUUUUUAGGAAGGGGGCCUGUCAAAUAUAUGCUAACUAGGUAGAGCGCUGUAAAACUGAUGGGAAGGAAACUUUUACUGAGGUGUUGCAAACCACAAAUUAGGAGCAUUUUAUCAGGUACUCAGUCAGUGCGGGACAAGCUGCAUUUGACAAGAAGGAAACAGCCUAGACUAUAAAUUAAGGCCCGAAAAUAGCACUAAGUGAGAAAGUAAUUAACUUCACAAAAAUUAGUAGGACGUUUGAUUAGUAGCAUCUACCGUUUAAAGAAAGCGUAAUAGCUCACUACUAUAGUUUAGUUGUUGCAAAAAUUUAGCCGGACUAAGCGCUAUGCCGAAAUUAUAGCUAAC